UAUUACCGCGGCUGCUGGCACGGAGUUAGCCGGUGCUUCCUUCAGUGGUACCGUCAGUACAAACGAGUAUUAAUCGUUCGCAGGUUCUUCCCACUUGACAGAGCUUUACGACCCGAAGGCCUUCAUCACUCACGCGGCGUUGCUGCGUCAGGCUUUCGCCCAUUGCGCAAGAUUCCUCACUGCUGCCUCCCGUAGGAGU
This 199-nucleotide ribosomal RNA is filed under the name delta proteobacterium S2552. Its description in RNAcentral is "partial 16S ribosomal RNA". Lineage: Bacteria; Deltaproteobacteria. The record is from RNAcentral.